UCCAGGCCCAGGGGUGCAGUGGGGGCCCCCCAGCAUGGCCCGGGGGUGAUGUGGGGUGCAAGACCCAGCCCAGCUGCCUCUCCUGGGGGGCAGGAGCCUUCCCCAGGCCUGGGACAGCACUGGGGACACUGGGGGGGCGAGGCAGCCCCUGGCUCUCUCCCUGCUUCCUCCUGAACGGCACCCGGCGAAGGAAGCCGCCUCUUGAGUUCAUGCAUAAAAGAUCAAUGGAAAUGGUGUCGCCUGCUGAAGAUCGAUCCACCAGCAGGACGUGCGGUGGGAGGUCUGGAGCUGUGCGUAGGGGAGGGCCUCUUGGGACUCAGAGAGGG
Molecule: long non-coding RNA, 326 nt
Organism: Egretta garzetta (little egret)
Lineage: Eukaryota; Metazoa; Chordata; Aves; Pelecaniformes; Ardeidae
Exons: 3
Source: RefSeq, a predicted model, not a curated record